This 662-nucleotide long non-coding RNA is filed under the name Androctonus crassicauda. The record is from RNAcentral. Lineage: Eukaryota; Metazoa; Arthropoda; Arachnida; Scorpiones; Buthidae.
AUUCGGUUGUCUUCUGAUUUCGAGCAACAUCGAUUUCUUUUCUGAUAACGAUGCAAUCGUUAACAGAACAAUUAUCAGUGCGGACGCAAAGAGCUCGAAGAAUUGUUGGCUUUUCGUUAUAAGAUACUACACAAGAUUCGCUAAAACUCACCUGUUCGUGGCAACAUAAACUCGGUAAACGUUGAUGAAUUCGUUGGUGACUUUGUAGCACUCUGGUGGGUGUACCGAGCCGAAAAAUUCCAUCUUUUAUCUUAUCGCUACGAACCGUGAUGGGAAGAAUAAGGCUAGUGAUAAUGGUAGGAGGUAGAUCUUGCGAAAUUUUAGACGGAUUUUGGAUACAGGAAAGGUUGAAGGAUGUCAACGGUUGGACUAGAGAAAGAAGACUUGGCACCUUUUCUUCUUGUGACAUCGAACAACCACCUGUCGGCCAUUCUGACUUAAGCAGAGCAGAGACAGCGGAGCUCUUAGGUUCUUUUAAUGCAGAUGCCCAAACCGAAUUCUCAUCGUGACGACUACUUAGUUGUUCCUUGUCGAAAAUACCAGUCGAUUCAACAGAACUUCUGUUAAGAAAUGACUUUUUGUAAUUUGGUAUCCAUACCACAUAUAACGAAGUAGCUGAAAAUGUAAAAUAAAAUAAUUUAUAUCUUUUAAACGACAUAUAU